Molecule: long non-coding RNA, 426 nt
Organism: Rhincodon typus (whale shark)
Lineage: Eukaryota; Metazoa; Chordata; Chondrichthyes; Orectolobiformes; Rhincodontidae
Exons: 3
Source: RefSeq, a predicted model, not a curated record
GGUAAUUGUUUAAAGACCUGCUGAUAAGAGUUCAGGACUGGCGUGUUCCAGUACAGAUGAAGGACAAGAUGGCAAGGUAUGUGAAAAUUUCCUUCAAUUAACCUGCAGCAGAAGACCCUUUUUGCAAGCACUGCCCAGGCAUUCUAGCAAAAUGGCUUGCCUCUUGAUUUUUCCCAAACUUCAAAAGCAGUAAACUGCACAACAUUGGACCAACAGCCUUAUGGGCCUGGGAUUCCAGCAAUUUCCAAGAGCAGAUUCCAGUAGUUAUGCAUUUGAAUUGGAAAAUGGAAAUUCCACUCCAUUGUCUAAGAAGCAAAGAGAUGCCGAGUAACAACAUACAUACCAUUACAUUUGAGGAAAUUGCAAGAAUCUAUCAGAGGCAGUGACUAAGCACUUGGACAAUUACCAACUGAUCCCAGAGAUUUU